AAAAACGUGGCCACUUUGCCUGUUCAAUGCUGAAUGAUAAGGCCACAACCUAAAACUUAACGCUCACAGAG
This 71-nucleotide small nucleolar RNA is filed under the name Aotus nancymaae (Ma's night monkey). Its description in RNAcentral is "Small nucleolar RNA SNORD5 (ENSANAG00000012583.1)". Lineage: Eukaryota; Metazoa; Chordata; Mammalia; Primates; Aotidae. The record is from RNAcentral.